This 490-nucleotide ribosomal RNA is filed under the name uncultured bacterium. RNAcentral's name for it is "partial 16S ribosomal RNA". It matches the Rfam family "Bacterial small subunit ribosomal RNA", at positions 30 to 507 of the family's 1533-position model. The record is from RNAcentral.
AUUGAACGCUGGCGGCAGGCCUAACACAUGCAAGUCGAACGGUAACAGGAAGAAGCUUGCUUCUUUGCUGACGAGUGGCGGACGGGUGAGUAAUGUCUGGGAAACUGCCUGAUGGAGGGGGAUAACUACUGGAAACGGUAGCUAAUACCGCAUAACGUCGCAAGCACAAAGAGGGGUACCUUCGGGCCUCUUGCCAGCGGAUGUGCCCAGAUGGGAUUAGCUAGUAGGUGGGGUAACGGCUCACCUAGGCGACGAUCCCUAGCUGGUCUGAGAGGAUGACCAGCCACACUGGAACGGAGACACGGUCCAGACGCCUACGGGAGGCAGCAGUGGGGAAUAGUGCACAAUGGGCGCAAGCCUGAUGCAGCCAUGCCGCGUGUAUGAAGAAGGCCUUCGGGUUGUAAAGUACUUUCAGCGGGGAUGAAGGGAGUAAAGUUAAUACCUUGGCUCAUUGACGUUACCCGCAGAAGAAGCACCGGCUAACUCCGUG